This is a small nuclear RNA of Phodopus roborovskii (desert hamster), 103 nucleotides long. The record is from RefSeq and is a predicted model, not a curated record. NCBI's taxonomy places the organism in Eukaryota, Metazoa, Chordata, Mammalia, Rodentia, Cricetidae.
CUGCUUUGGCAGCACAUAUGCUACAAUUGGAACGACACAGAGAAGAUGGGCGUGGCCCCUGUGUAAGGGUGACACAAAAAUUCGUGAAGCGCUUCAUAUCUUU